GACGAACGCUGGCGGCGUGCCUAAUACAUGCAAGUCGAACGAGAGCGACCGGUGCUUGCACUGGUCAAUCUAGUGGCGAACGGGUGAGUAACACGUGGGUAACCUGCCCAUCAGAGGGGGAUAACAUCCGGAAACGGAUGCUAAAACCGCAUAGGUCUUCGAACCGCAUGGUUUGAAGAGGAAAAGAGGCGCACGCUUCUGCUGAUGGAUGGACCCGCGGUGCAUUAGCUAGUUGGUGAGGUAACGGCUCACCAAGGCCGUGAUGCAUAGCCGACCUGAGAGGGUGAUCGGCCACAUUGGGACUGAGACACGGCCCAAACUCCUACGGGAGGCAGCAGUAGGGAAUCUUCCGCAAUGGACGCAAGUCUGACGGAGCAACGCCGCGUGAGUGAAGAAGGUUUUCGGAUCGUAAAACUCUGUUGUUAGAGAAGAACAAGUGCUAGAGUAACUGUUAGCGCCUUGACGGUAGCUAACCAGAAAGCCACGGCUAACUACGUG
RNAcentral lists this ribosomal RNA (498 nucleotides) under uncultured bacterium. RNAcentral's name for it is "partial 16S ribosomal RNA". It matches the Rfam family "Bacterial small subunit ribosomal RNA", at positions 28 to 507 of the family's 1533-position model. The record is from RNAcentral.